This is a non-coding RNA of Lachancea thermotolerans CBS 6340, 74 nucleotides long. The record is from Rfam. Lineage: Eukaryota; Fungi; Ascomycota; Saccharomycetes; Saccharomycetales; Saccharomycetaceae.
UCCGAUAUAGUGUAACGGUCAUCACAUCACGAUCAUUGUCCGUGAAGAACGGGGUUCGACUCCCCGCGUCGGUG